Molecule: long non-coding RNA, 647 nt
Organism: Talpa occidentalis (Iberian mole)
Lineage: Eukaryota; Metazoa; Chordata; Mammalia; Eulipotyphla; Talpidae
Exons: 3
Source: RefSeq, a predicted model, not a curated record
GACCCAGCACCAUGCUAGAUGCAUGCCAGACCUUCUGUGCACAUCCGAGUAAGUGACAGCCACCAGGCCGUUGCCAGCUUCCUGACGCUCCCACCGAGAGUCCACAACAGACUUCACGCAGUUGUUCGUUCACUGACUUGAUCAUGUGUUUUCGAGAGGCCCAGCAGGCCCCAGACAUCACGCAGCCAAUCUGAGUGCUUCGCUUCCCUCUGAAACUGAUCCUCCUCCAGCCUCUCUGAGCUCGGAGAACAGCACUGUGGCCCAGCAGAGCCCGCGGACCAGAAACACAAUUGACAGAUGAAGCGAGGUGCAGCGAUGUUAAAAACCUGACCCGACGGCAUACAGCUCAGAGGAAGGGGAAGAGUCAACCACUAGCAACUUGUCUCCAGAGAAUGCACUCCCCUCCUCCUAGUGCAACAGCUUCCACAGAGAAGGGGCGAACUGGAGCCCCAGACCUUGUUCCAAAGAAGGAGGACUAGAGUUUGGGCUAAGCCACGAACUUGCCCUGUGACUUCGGGUGCCCCUCAUCUCCUGCCAGGGCUGCCACUAUGAGGGAAAAAAAUCAGCUAACUGUGGACCACUUAGUGGCCCGGUAAGAGCCUGGGAAAGAAUCUGAACUGACUUUUGUAAUGAAGUAUUUCUUAAGC